UUUCUAAGGAUAUAUUCGGAACAUCUUCUUCAGAAGAUGCGGAAUAACGUGACAUAUUGUAUUCAGUUUUGAAUGUUUGUUCACAAGAUUAACGGAGAACUGAAACAUCUUAGUACCCGGAGGAAGAGAAAGAAAAUUCGAUUCCCUUAGUAGCGGCGAGCGAAACGGGAAGAGCCCAAACCAACAAGCUUGCUUGUUGGGGUUGUAGGACACUCUAUACGGAGUUACAAAGGACGACAUUAGACGAAUCAUCUGGAAAGAUGAAUCAAAGAAGGUAAUAAUCCUGUAGUCGAAAAUGUUGUCUCUCUUGAGUGGAUCCUGAGUACGACGGAGCACGUGAAAUUCCGUCGGAAUCUGGGAGGACCAUCUCCUAAGGCUAAAUACUCUCUAGUGACCGAUAGUGAACCAGUACCGUGAGGGAAAGGUGAAAAGCACCCCGGAAGGGGAGUGAAAUAGAACCUGAAACCGUGUGCUUACAAGUAGUCAGAGCCCGUUAAUGGGUGAUGGCGUGCCUUUUGUAGAAUGAACCGGCGAGUUACGAUUUGAUGCAAGGUUAAGCAGUAAAUGUGGAGCCGUAGCGAAAGCGAGUCUGAAUAGGGCGUUUAGUAUUUGGUCGUAGACCCGAAACCAGGUGAUCUACCCUUGGUCAGGUUGAAGUUCAGGUAACACUGAAUGGAGGACCGAACCGACUUACGUUGAAAAGUGAGCGGAUGAACUGAGGGUAGCGGAGAAAUUCCAAUCGAACCUGGAGAUAGCUGGUUCUCUCCGAAAUAGCUUUAGGGCUAGCCUCAAGUGAUGAUUAUUGGAGGUAGAGCACUGUUUGGACGAGGGGCCCCUCUCGGGUUACCGAAUUCAGACAAACUCCGAAUGCCAAUUAAUUUAACUUGGGAGUCAGAACAUGGGUGAUAAGGUCCGUGUUCGAAAGGGAAACAGCCCAGACCACCAGCUAAGGUCCCAAAAUAUAUGUUAAGUGGAAAAGGAUGUGGCGUUGCCCAGACAACUAGGAUGUUGGCUUAGAAGCAGCCAUCAUUUAAAGAGUGCGUAAUAGCUCACUAGUCGAGUGACACUGCGCCGAAAAUGUACCGGGGCUAAACAUAUUACCGAAGCUGUGGAUUGUCCUUUGGACAAUGGUAGGAGAGCGUUCUAAGGGCGUUGAAGCAUGAUCGUAAGGACAUGUGGAGCGCUUAGAAGUGAGAAUGCCGGUGUGAGUAGCGAAAGACGGGUGAGAAUCCCGUCCACCGAUUGACUAAGGUUUCCAGAGGAAGGCUCGUCCGCUCUGGGUUAGUCGGGUCCUAAGCUGAGGCCGACAGGCGUAGGCGAUGGAUAACAGGUUGAUAUUCCUGUACCACCUAUAAUCGUUUUAAUCGAUGGGGGGACGCAGUAGGAUAGGCGAAGCGUGCGAUUGGAUUGCACGUCUAAGCAGUAAGGCUGAGUAUUAGGCAAAUCCGGUACUCGUUAAGGCUGAGCUGUGAUGGGGAGAAGACAUUGAGUCUUCGAGUCGUUGAUUUCACACUGCCGAGAAAAGCCUCUAGAUAGAAAAUAGGUGCCCGUACCGCAAACCGACACAGGUAGUCAAGAUGAGAAUUCUAAGGUGAGCGAGCGAACUCUCGUUAAGGAACUCGGCAAAAUGACCCCGUAACUUCGGGAGAAGGGGUGCUCUUUAGGGUUAACGCCCAGAAGAGCCGCAGUGAAUAGGCCCAAGCGACUGUUUAUCAAAAACACAGGUCUCUGCUAAACCGUAAGGUGAUGUAUAGGGGCUGACGCCUGCCCGGUGCUGGAAGGUUAAGAGGAGUGGUUAGCUUCUGCGAAGCUACGAAUCGAAGCCCCAGUAAACGGCGGCCGUAACUAUAACGGUCCUAAGGUAGCGAAAUUCCUUGUCGGGUAAGUUCCGACCCGCACGAAAGGCGUAACGAUUUGGGCACUGUCUCAACGAGAGACUCGGUGAAAUCAUAGUACCUGUGAAGAUGCAGGUUACCCGCGACAGGACGGAAAGACCCCGUGGAGCUUUACUGUAGCCUGAUAUUGAAAUUCGGCACAGCUUGUACAGGAUAGGUAGGAGCCUUUGAAACGUGAGCGCUAGCUUACGUGGAGGCGCUGGUGGGAUACUACCCUAGCUGUGUUGGCUUUCUAACCCGCACCACUUAUCGUGGUGGGAGACAGUGUCAGGCGGGCAGUUUGACUGGGGCGGUCGCCUCCUAAAAGGUAACGGAGGCGCUCAAAGGUUCCCUCAGAAUGGUUGGAAAUCAUUCAUAGAGUGUAAAGGCAUAAGGGAGCUUGACUGCGAGACCUACAAGUCGAGCAGGGUCGAAAGACGGACUUAGUGAUCCGGUGGUUCCGCAUGGAAGGGCCAUCGCUCAACGGAUAAAAGCUACCCCGGGGAUAACAGGCUUAUCUCCCCCAAGAGUUCACAUCGACGGGGAGGUUUGGCAC
This 2430-nucleotide ribosomal RNA is filed under the name Staphylococcus aureus. Its description in RNAcentral is "bacterial LSU rRNA". It matches the Rfam family "Bacterial large subunit ribosomal RNA", at positions 71 to 2524 of the family's 2925-position model. The record is from RNAcentral. Lineage: Bacteria; Bacillati; Bacillota; Bacilli; Caryophanales; Staphylococcaceae.